This 508-nucleotide ribosomal RNA is filed under the name uncultured bacterium. RNAcentral describes it as "bacterial SSU rRNA". It matches the Rfam family "Bacterial small subunit ribosomal RNA", at positions 1003 to 1511 of the family's 1533-position model. The record is from RNAcentral.
GAGAUGGAUUGGUGCCUUCGGGAACUGUGAGACAGGUGCUGCAUGGCUGUCGUCAGCUCGUGUUGUGAAAUGUUGGGUUAAGUCCCGCAACGAGCGCAACCCUUAUCCUUUGUUGCCAGCGGUCCGGCCGGGAACUCAAAGGAGACUGCCAGUGAUAAACUGGAGGAAGGUGGGGAUGACGUCAAGUCAUCAUGGCCCUUACGACCAGGGCUACACACGUGCUACAAUGGCGCAUACAAAGAGAAGCGACCUCGCGAGAGCAAGCGGACCUCAUAAAGUGCGUCGUAGUCCGGAUUGGAGUCUGCAACUCGACUCCAUGAAGUCGGAAUCGCUAGUAAUCGUGGAUCAGAAUGCCACGGUGAAUACGUUCCCGGGCCUUGUACACACCGCCCGUCACACCAUGGGAGUGGGUUGCAAAAGAAGUAGGUAGCUUAACCUUCGGGAGGGCGCUUACCACUUUGUGAUUCAUGACUGGGGUGAAGUCGUAACAAGGUAACCGUAGGGGAAC